Molecule: RNA transcript, 1717 nt
Organism: Brassica oleracea var. oleracea
Lineage: Eukaryota; Viridiplantae; Streptophyta; Magnoliopsida; Brassicales; Brassicaceae
Gene name: autophagy-related protein 9-like
Exons: 4
Source: RefSeq, a predicted model, not a curated record
GCAUAAAAAAUCAAUAUUUUAUUCACUCAUUUCUUCCUCCACGCAAACCCAAUUCCAUUCUUCUUCUUCUUCUCCAUCGAUCAAUUCUCUCUUCUCUUUUCAUCGUAUUUCCACCGCCCUUGAACAACAAGUUGUGAGUAAGUUUUGUUCUCAUAGCUGAACCUUCGCUUUUCACGUCUCUCUCUGCGCCGUUUCCUUUUGUGGGUCGCUGGUAUUGGGUUUGGCCGUUUCAAUUUUGUGUGGCUCCUGAUUGAAUCACUCUUCUUCGUUUGGUGUAAGGGAAUUGGGUUUGAUCAAGGAGUAUUGUUUAUGUGCUUAAACCUUGUUUCGGCCUCUCUCGGUUGAGUAUAGAUUACUCUCUACUCUGUGUUUGAGUGCUUUCUCAUAUUGCUAAGCAUGUGCUGCAUUAUCUAUAGAUCCUGCCUGAUGCGGGCAUCAAAUCCACUGCUCAUAAAGUAGACAAGACUUUCCAUGUUUGGACUCGGAUGAACCUAGACGACAUCAAACUCAUGGUUCGUUUUAUUCAGUAGGAUGUCUCCAAACAAAGGCCACCACUUAAGCCUCUUUAUCAGCUAAUAAAGAUGUGGAUCAAAGGAUUUGUAGCUGCAUUCUCGUGAGGCACUUCGCUCUUAAUACCCCCACGUGGUAAAACAGGUAAUGGACUGGCUUUGUUGAUCAAUCGGCAGUCUUUACAAAUGAUGAGUACAGGGUAAAAGGCUCCAAACGUAUUCAACUUUUUAAAAUGGCAAGUGAUUGAGCUAUCUAACUGCGAUUGAGCUAUCUAACUGCGGUGAAGUACCAAGUCCCGGCAGAGAGAACCCGUCUGGACUUUUUAACGGAGAGAGCUUAACUGUUCAGCCCAUUUCUGAUUUGGAUCUCUUCUUCGAGAGGCUCUACAGCUACUACAUAGACAAAGGCCUCUGGUGUAUUAUAGUAAAGUGGGCUGUUGAGCUUCUAAGCCUUGGCUUUAUCAUGUGUCUCUGGUACUAUAACAGUGGUAUUAGCGUGGUCUUAAGAAUGCAAAAUGUGGAAUGGAUGUUGUUGAAUCUGGGACUAAGCCAUGCGAUCUUGUCAAAGAGGUUAUCCAUGAGCAUCCUUUGUCCCCUUUCACGCUCACAAUGGCUAUCAUCGUUGGAUAUUUGGCUCUCUUCUCUGUCUACUGGCUCUUCUGCUUCUUAAGGUUCUUCGCCCAGUUGAAGGAUACUUUGGACUCCCGGCACUUUUACUACAACAGACAACGAAAUCCUGACUAUGCCAUGGGAAACAGUCCUUGAAAAGGUUGUUCAGUUACAAAGCUCACAGCGCCUUUGCAUGGUGAAGGAUCUUUCAGCUCAUGAUAUUGUUAUGCACCUUAUGCGGAAAGAAAACUACUUGAUCAGAAUGGUCAACAAAGGUUUGCUUUCUUUCCCGAUCUCCCAUUGGAUCCCUGGUGCUGCUCCUGUAGUCAAAUCUGCUCCACAUGGGACGCAACAUCACCACCUUGUAUUGACAAAGACCCUUGAGUGGACCCUGAACUGCUGCAUAUUGCAGAGCAUGUUUGACUGGUAUGCUAUCCUCCCACGCUAUUCUUUGAUCAAACUUUACUCCUUCCGUUUAACAAAUAUAUACUUAUAUAUUCUUAAAUAUUAACCGUUGUUACUUGUAAUUCACAUGAUAUUAAUGUGUGUUAGUUUGUUUGAUACAUAUGUUUUACAUGAUACUUCUAAACAUAUAUUAU